Molecule: ribosomal RNA, 253 nt
Filed under: uncultured bacterium
Lineage: Bacteria
Description: partial 16S ribosomal RNA
Rfam family: Bacterial small subunit ribosomal RNA
Source: RNAcentral
UACGGGGGGAGCGAGCGUUGUUCGGAUUUACUGGGCGUAAAGCGUGCGUAGGUGGUUUCCCAAGUCAGAAGUGAAAGCCCAGGGCUUAACCCUGGAACUGCUUUUGAAACUGGGUCACUAGAAUCUGGGAGAGGCAAGCGGAAUUCCGAGUGUAGAGGUGAAAUUCGUAGAUAUUCGGAGGAACACCAAUGGCGAAGGCAGCUUGCUGGAACAGUAUUGACACUGAGGCACGAAAGCGUGGGGAGCAAACAGG